This 823-nucleotide long non-coding RNA is filed under the name Helianthus annuus (common sunflower). The record is from RNAcentral. Lineage: Eukaryota; Viridiplantae; Streptophyta; Magnoliopsida; Asterales; Asteraceae.
AAGACCACCGGAGUUCCGGCGACUCCGUCAUCGGACCACAACUUCAUGUCGCGGUGAACCGUGAUUUUAUUGAAGCUGCUGGAAGAACCCACCGGAUCUCCAAAAAACUGUCGUCUCCGGCGACGGUUAAGCAGCCGGAGAUCGGCGUCGUCGCUGCCGGUAAAUGUGCCGAACUGACAUCGUUGAUGAUGAUGAGGAGGAUGAUUGUAGCGUCGGUUAACCGGGGAGUUGAAUCGCCGGGGGAAGAUUUUCGGGUAAGAGAUUGUUAUGCGUGACGGUAGGAACCGUGGCCGGUGAUGUUGGAGAUAUUGUUACGUCGUCGUUUCAGAAAGUGAUUCUGCCGUUUGAUUUGAAUGUUCCGGCAACGGUGGAAGACACGUGCGGUUUUCCGGUGGACGAUGGGGGAUAAUAGUUUUUGAAACAACACAGAGACUAAGGAAAAAAAAGUGAUUUGGAUAUUGUGUAUUCGAUUCUUAAAUACGUUAAAGGAUGUUGAUGAUGUACCCGGAUUUGAUGUACCCGGAUUUGAUGAACGACAAUAAUCUGAAUCCAAAAGUGAUGUUGAUGAAUUCCUAAUGUUGAAGAUCGCCGGUAAUUUUUUUCGUGAAGAGUCAAUUCGCGCUGACAACGUGAUAAAAACCAAGGAGAAAUAGAGAUAAACUUGAUUCAAUUCUUCACAAUAUUCAACAUUACAAUAUAUAGAGAUAAACAUAGCUGGAAACCCUAAAGCCCAUAAGUAAUGGGUUGGGCGUAAAAGGUCUGGUUUAUAACAUCUUUGUAUUUUAUUACUUAUUUAUAUAAUCUUAUAACAGAAUAACAGCAU